RNAcentral lists this long non-coding RNA (918 nucleotides) under Homo sapiens (human). RNAcentral describes it as "small nucleolar RNA host gene 1, transcript variant 8 (SNHG1)". The record is from RNAcentral. Lineage: Eukaryota; Metazoa; Chordata; Mammalia; Primates; Hominidae.
CUCAUUUUUCUACUGCUCGUGGAUUUACGCGCACGUUGGAACCGAAGAGAGCUCUGUUGUUGCAAUGUUCAGCCCACAAGAGCUUACUGGUGAAGGAAUGGGACAAGACCCAUCUUUAUGCAAAGCCAGCGUUACAGUAAUGUUCCAGCAUCUCAUAAUCUAUCCUGGGGAAUUCAGCUGCCUCCCAGGGUGAAUACAGGUAUUCCUGAUGACAGUCUGCCUCUAUCUUACAGAGCAGCUUGUUGCUAUAUACCAUUGAAAAGCCUUCAGAGCUGAGAGGUACUACUAACCAAUAACCUGCUUGGCUCAAAGGGCCAGCACCUUCUCUCUAAAGCCCAAGAGGAGUUUGAGGAAAACUAGGUGUCUGUGUUCACUCCAGGCUGAAGUUACAGGUCUGAGCAAAUAAGGUGUAUAAAAAAUGGAAUCUGUCUUGGAGGACAUCAGAAGAUACAAGGGCUUGGUUUUGUUACCCAGGCUGGUUUCAAGGCCAUAGCUUUAAGAGAUCCUCUCACCACAGAUUUCCAAAGUGCUGGGAUUGCAGGUGUGAUUCAUGGCACCCAGACUUUGCUGCCUUUCUUACAUGAUCCAGGCCCAGAACCCAAACUCAGGCACUGUAUAGAUGACCACUUUCGUAAACUACUGACCUAGCUUGUUGCCAAUUGUUGAUUGAACUUCCCAUAACUCCACUUCGUGUCUGUUCCUCUGUAUACAGCCACCUUCUGUUCCCGUCAUGAGCCUUUAGGUCUCCAUUUGCAUAUUGCAAAUACUAUGUUCCAUGUAGGUAGCUCAUUCAGGGCCUUGCUCUUCACUUCAAAAAAGGUUCCCUUGAGGACUGGCUGUCAAUUUGUGUUGCUGUGUUGGUUGUUGAUGAAAAUAAUAAAAUGAUUGAUUACAUAGUCCUGUUUAAAAAAAAAAAAA